GCCAGGCAUGGUGGCACAUGCCUGUAAUCCCAGGUGUUCAGGAGGCUGAGGCAGGAGGAUCCCAAGUUCAAAGCCAACACCAGCAAUUUAGUGAGACCCUCAGCAACUUAAUGAGACCCUGUUUCAA
Molecule: small RNA, 127 nt
Filed under: Marmota monax (woodchuck)
Lineage: Eukaryota; Metazoa; Chordata; Mammalia; Rodentia; Sciuridae
Source: RNAcentral